GACGAAGGAUGCAAGCGUUAUCCGGAUUCAUUGGGUUUAAAGGGAGCGUAGGUGGCCUUAUAAGUCAGUGGUGAAAUCUCUCGGCUUAACUGAGAAAUUGCCAUUGAUACUGUAGGGCUUGAGUACAGAUGCCGUUGGCGGAAUAUGACAUGUAGUGGUGAAAUACAUAGAGAUGUCAUAGAACACCGAUUGCGAAGGCAGCUGACGAAACUGUAACUGACGCUGAGGCGCGAAAGCCAGGGGAGCGAACGGG
RNAcentral lists this ribosomal RNA (253 nucleotides) under uncultured bacterium. RNAcentral describes it as "partial 16S ribosomal RNA". It matches the Rfam family "Bacterial small subunit ribosomal RNA", at positions 524 to 776 of the family's 1533-position model. The record is from RNAcentral.